This is a long non-coding RNA of Equus caballus (horse), 357 nucleotides long. RefSeq lists it as uncharacterized. The record is from RefSeq and is a predicted model, not a curated record. NCBI's taxonomy places the organism in Eukaryota, Metazoa, Chordata, Mammalia, Perissodactyla, Equidae.
UCUUGGAAGAUUUGCUUUUAGGAACUUAUCCAUUUCUUCUAGGUUGUUCAUCUUAUUGACAUACAGUUGUUCAUAGCAGUGUCAUAUGAUCUUUGGUAUUUUUGUGGUAUGAGUUGUAACUUCUCUUUCAUUUCUGACUUUGUUUAUUUGAGCCCUCUCUUUUAUUCUUGGGAUGUGGAUCUGGCCAGAAUACUGCUGUUUAAAGAGAUUGCAGAUUCCUUUCAGCUGCCUUCGAAGAUGCCUUCACUUAUCAGAUUUGGAUUCUCUCUAAGAACUCCAAGAUAUGUUUGUGGAAUUAAUUAUACCAACUGAACUAAUCUUACCUGCCAGAGAGGGUCUUUUUGAUCAGGAAAGAGC